RNAcentral lists this transfer RNA (74 nucleotides) under Planctomycetaceae bacterium. RNAcentral describes it as "tRNA-Met". It matches the Rfam family "tRNA". From Rfam's summary of the family: Transfer RNA (tRNA) molecules are approximately 80 nucleotides in length. Their secondary structure includes four short double-helical elements and three loops (D, anti-codon, and T loops). Further hydrogen bonds mediate the characteristic L-shaped molecular structure. tRNAs have two regions of fundamental functional importance: the anti-codon, which is responsible for specific mRNA codon recognition, and the 3' end, to which the tRNAs corresponding amino acid is attached (by aminoacyl-tRNA synthetases). tRNAs cope with the degeneracy of the genetic code in two manners: having more than one tRNA (with a specific anti-codon) for a particular amino acid; and 'wobble' base-pairing, i.e. permitting non-standard base-pairing at the 3rd anti-codon position. Lineage: Bacteria; Pseudomonadati; Planctomycetota; Planctomycetia; Planctomycetales; Planctomycetaceae. RNAcentral also lists the same sequence under 3 other names. The record is from RNAcentral.
GGCAAGGUAGCUCAGUCGGUUAGAGCACAGGCUUCAUAAGCCUGGGGUCGCGGGUUCGAGUCCCGCCCUUGCUA